RNAcentral lists this ribosomal RNA (497 nucleotides) under uncultured bacterium. RNAcentral describes it as "partial 16S ribosomal RNA". It matches the Rfam family "Bacterial small subunit ribosomal RNA", at positions 28 to 507 of the family's 1533-position model. The record is from RNAcentral.
GAUGAACGCUGGCGGCGUGCCUAAUACAUGCAAGUCGAGCGAACAGACGAGGAGCUUGCUCCUUUGACGUUAGCGGCGGACGGGUGAGUAACACGUGGGUAACCUACCUAUAAGACUGGGAUAACUUCGGGAAACCGGAGCUAAUACCGGAUAAUAUUUCGAACCGCAUGGUUCGAUAGUGAAAGAUGGCUUUGCUGUCACUUAUAGAUGGACCUGCGCCGUAUUAGCUAGUUGGUAAGGUAACGGCUUACCAAGGCAACGAUACGUAGCCGACCUGAGAGGGUGAUCGGCCACACUGGAACUGAGACACGGUCCAGACUCCUACGGGAGGCAGCAGUAGGGAAUCUUCCGCAAUGGGCGAAAGCCUGACGGAGCAACGCCGCGUGAGUGAUGAAGGUCUUCGGAUCGUAAAACUCUGUUAUUAGGGAAGAAUAAAUGUGUAAGUAACUGUGCACGUCUUGACGGUACCUAAUCAGAAAGCCACGGCUAACUACGUG